UCAGGUUUCAAUGAUAUCGAUAGU
This 24-nucleotide non-coding RNA is filed under the name Arabidopsis thaliana (thale cress). The record is from RNAcentral. Lineage: Eukaryota; Viridiplantae; Streptophyta; Magnoliopsida; Brassicales; Brassicaceae.